RNAcentral lists this ribosomal RNA (1554 nucleotides) under Ctenocephalides felis (cat flea). Its description in RNAcentral is "SSU rRNA". It matches the Rfam family "Eukaryotic small subunit ribosomal RNA". Lineage: Eukaryota; Metazoa; Arthropoda; Insecta; Siphonaptera; Pulicidae. The record is from RNAcentral.
ACUGAGGAAGCUUCUCGCACCGAGGAUCAUUCAUUUAUGAACGUUCGAUCGGUGCGAGUUAAAAUUAUUUGGGUCUGCUGACCGCAAAUAUGAAAUCUUGUGAUUACUCGACAAAUUAUUGCUGUAAUCAAGUGCGCUCCUAUAGUAUAAUAUACUGUGGGCAAAAGCCUCUGGCAAUGAUCAUUCGUUUCAUUAACUAUUAGAGGGCCAGUCUGGUGCCAGCAGCCGCGGUAAUUCCAGCUCUAAUAGCGUAUAUUAAAGGUGUUGCGGUUAAAAAGCUCAUAGUUGAAUCUGUGUCCCACACUGUCGGUUCACCGCUCACUGUCAUGUUCAACAGGCAUGUCUGUGGGACGUCCUACCGGUGGUCUUAGCCCGUAAAAAGGCGGCCCAACUCAAAAUCCUACCAAGGUGCUCUUCACCGAGUGUCGAGGUGGGCCGGUACGUUUACUUUGAACAAAUUAGAGUGCUUAAAGCAGGCUCAUUCGCCUGAAUAUUGUGUGCAUGGAAUAAUGGAAUAGGACCUCGGUUCUAUUUUGUUGGUUUUCGGAAUUCCGAGGUAAUGAUUAAUAGGGACAACUGGGGGCAUUCGUAUUGCGACGUUAGAGAUGAAAUUCUUGGAUCGUCGCAAGACGGACAGAAGCGAAAGCAUUUGCCAAAUGUGUUUUCAUCAAUCAAGAACGAAAGUUAGAGGUUCGAAGGCGAUCAGAUACCGCCCUAGUUCUAACCAUAAACGAUGCCAGCUAGCGAUCCGCCGAAGUUCCUCCAAUGACUCGGCGGGCAGCUUCCGGGAAACCAAAGCUUUUGGGUUCCGGGGGAAGUAUGGUUGCAAAGCUAAAACUUAAAGGAAUUGACAGAAGGGCACUACAAGGAGUGGAGCCUGCGGCUUAAUUUGACUCAACACGGGAAACCUCACCAGGUCCAGACAUCGGAAGGAUUGACAGAUUGAGAGCUCUUUCUUGAUUCGGUGGGUGGUGGUGCAUGGCCAUUCUUAGUUGGUGGAGUGAUUUGUCUGGUUAAUUCUGAUAACGAACGAGAUUCUAGCCUGCUAAAUAGACGUACUUUCUGGUAUCGCAAAGACCCUCCGCUUCGGCUUCGGUCGUUGUUGGUUGUGGUUCUCACUACCGGCGUACAAAUAUAUCUUCUUAGAGGGACAGGCGGCAUUUAGUCGCACGCAAUUGAACAAUAACAGGUCUGUGAUGCCCUUAGAUGUUCUGGGCCGCACGCGCGCUACACUGAAGAGAUCAGCAGGUUUUCCUUGGCCGAAAGGUCCGGGUAAUCCGUUGAAGCCUCUUCGUGCUAGGGAUUGGGGCUUGCAAUUCUUCCCCAUGAACGAGGAAUUCCUAGUAAGCGCGAGUCAUAAGCUUGCGUUGAUUAUGUCCCUGCCCUUUGUACACACCGCCCGUCGCUACUACCGAUUGAAUUAUUUAGUGAGGUCUUCGGACCGGUGCGCGGCAGCGUUUCGACAUUGCCGAUGUUGCUGGGAAGAUAACCAAACUUGAUUAUUUAGAGGAAGUAAAAGUCGUAACAAGGUUUCCGUAGGUGAACCUGCGAAAG